AGACAGGUGAGCGACGAACUUCUGAGACAGGUGUGGGUGCGAGGGUCGGGAGGGUCAUGGGAUUGGGACCGAGGUGUGAGGAGGGAAUCUGCAAUUCCUUGCUACACAGAGCGCUGGCAACUUCUGACAGGCUGUUUUUGGGGUAUGGGCUGCCUCGGGUUGUUGCUGUUACAAGGAAAGAAAAGGGUUCCCCUGCCCACCGCCUCCCAGCCACUGGGCUACCUCCUGGCAGGAAAUUUGCAAACUGAGAUUAACAAGUUAGGAUCAGCAGAGGGUAGAGGAGGGCCCUGGCAGAUGUGGGGUCUAGAAGAGGACAGGAGUUAUCAGGGCCUCCGGCCAUUGUGCUGGGCCUUUGCCUGUACAAUUGUUUCUCAAGCAGUUGUGUCCCUGUGGCUUUGGUGCGCCUGUGUGCACUUUCUCCCUCCACCUGGAGCAUGGGCUGACACCGGAGGAAAGGAAAAGACAGAGUCAGACAGGGGACAAUGAAGCCUUUGAAGUGCCAGUCUAUGA
RNAcentral lists this small RNA (510 nucleotides) under Pan troglodytes (chimpanzee). Its description in RNAcentral is "processed transcript". Lineage: Eukaryota; Metazoa; Chordata; Mammalia; Primates; Hominidae. The record is from RNAcentral.